Acanthosepion pharaonis is the source of this 115-nucleotide non-coding RNA. NCBI's taxonomy places the organism in Eukaryota, Metazoa, Mollusca, Cephalopoda, Sepiida, Sepiidae. The record is from the annotation of a GenBank genome assembly.
UUGUGGCUAUCUCACAUUGAAACACAGGUUCUCGUAAUGAUCACUGUAGUUAAGCAGCAUCAAACACAGUCAGUAUCUAGAUGGGUGACCACUUGGGAAUACCAGAUGCUGUAAG